CCUACGGGUGACAGCAGUGAGGAAUAUUGGUCAAUGGACGGAAGUCUGAACCAGCCAUGCCGCGUGCAGGAAGACGGCUCUAUGAGUUGUAAACUGCUUUUGUACAAGGGUAAACCUGAAUACGUGUAUUCUGCUGAAAGUACUGUACGAAUAAGGAUCGGCUAACUCCGUGCCAGCAGCCGCGGUAAUACGGAGGAUCCAAGCGUUAUCCGGAUUUAUUGGGCUUAAAGGGUGCGUAGGCGGAUUGAUAAGUUAGAGGUGAAAUGUCCGAGCUUAACUCGGGAACUGCCUCUAAAACUGUUGAUCUAGAGAGUAGGUGCGGUAGGCGGAAUGUAUGGUGUAGCGGUGAAAUGCUUAGAGAUCAUACAGAACACCGAUUGCGAAGGCAGCCUACCAAUCUAUAUCUGACGUUGAGGCACGAAAGCGUGGGGAGCAAACAGGAUUAGAUACCCGAGUAGUC
This 460-nucleotide ribosomal RNA is filed under the name uncultured bacterium. RNAcentral describes it as "partial 16S ribosomal RNA". It matches the Rfam family "Bacterial small subunit ribosomal RNA", at positions 338 to 795 of the family's 1533-position model. The record is from RNAcentral.